RNAcentral lists this small RNA (99 nucleotides) under Escherichia ruysiae. Lineage: Bacteria; Pseudomonadati; Pseudomonadota; Gammaproteobacteria; Enterobacterales; Enterobacteriaceae. RNAcentral also lists the same sequence under 1 other name. The record is from RNAcentral.
GGCAACUAAGCCUGCAUUAAUGCCAACUUUUAGCGCACGGCUCUCUCCCAAGAGCCAUUUCCCUGGACCGAAUACAGGAAUCGUAUUCGGUCUCUUUUU